Long non-coding RNA from Acanthaster planci (crown-of-thorns starfish), 572 nucleotides. NCBI's taxonomy places the organism in Eukaryota, Metazoa, Echinodermata, Asteroidea, Valvatida, Acanthasteridae. The record is from RefSeq and is a predicted model, not a curated record.
GAAGCACCACCCAGACAGUCUGGCUUUGUAUGUAUAUAAGCAUGUAUGUCUAAAAACUAGAUCAGUUGGUCGACAAAAUACACUUUUCCACAGACAACCAGAUCAGAGUUUUGUCAGACAAAAUCUUCUCAAACGAAAUAGAAUUUCAUCCAAUGGAGGAAGAAGCAAUGGAAGUUGAUGGUGCUUCAGAUGAACCACAACCUAUGGAAAUUGAUCAAGAGGAACUAGUCGACCAACUCGCCCACCCCCGUGAAGAAAAACAGCCAGACAAGAAAGGGCUAGACUUCCAGAACAUGCCUCCAUGGAAUAAACAGCAAGAGAGUUUCCUGCAAAUAACACAUGAGCAUCAUGAAAUGUGGGUGUUGUAUCACCAUGACCUGAUAGCAAGGGAUGGGCCUUCUGUCAACGGACAGUAUCUGCAUCCAUGGAAUUUAACAGAAUUCGUCCUGCAAACGCGACAUCAGUUCCAUGACAUGUUGCAUUACAUCAAUCUAAUAGCUCGGAAAAGGCCUGAUGACAUGACGAAAGCACCAUGAUGUAAACAUUGUGAUGUAAAUAUGGUGUAGUUUCUU